AGAAAGAAAGAGGAGAGAAUGAAAGCCUAAGAACUGUAUCUGUCCAGAUGGUAGCAGCUGACUGAGCUUGUUGGAAGUCCCCGGAUGUCCUCACAGAACUUACACCAAGGCAGAGUAUGGCGGAAGCUCUGCACUGCUGAGCUGUCAGUGAUCACCAACAGCUGACUAUGAAGAGACUUUGGACCCCUGUUCAGGAGUUUCCAAUGCCCAGGACCAGUCAAAGACACAUGCUAAAAACCUGAAGCCGUGCCAAAAUCCCUGUAUCUUUUCAUAAACCAAAAACUCUAAAUAGAAGUCUAUCUGUUAUGUUCAAAAAACAAAACAAAACAAUGGCCAUAGCAAAACUCUGUCUUAUUAUGUCACCUGCCUUUAAUGUCAGUUCCCUUGAAGAUUACAAGUUUGAUGUUUUGCCUGGAGCAUAUUCCUCCCUGCUGGAUCUGUGCUAUACUCUCAGCAACUAGCCACAAUCAUAAAACUAAAAGAAGUGAUGGUUCCAUUUUUAUUGUGAGAAGUAAAAUUUGUUUCUAAUUAUUGAGCUAAAACCUUAAGACCCUUCUAAAAAGCCACUAGACUGAAUACUAUAUUUAAACUUUUGUAACAUUCAUAUGAUUACAGACUUCAGAAAUCUCACUAUUUUUCAUUCUGUCUUGCAUAUGUUAAAUGACAGUAAAAACCAACUAGGUAAACAUUGUUGACAAACCAAGGUACGUUCAGCCUUGCUCAGGUUCUGCAGUCCUUGCAGAUGUGACUUAAGACCUUCCACGCCAUCAAAGAACUUGUGCUCUGUUGAGAAGCAAAGAAGAAUGGUAUGAAACAGUCACAUGUCUCAUUUCUCAGUUCUAAGGUAACCUCUCUUUGUGCUAUUUGAUUGGAUCCAUCUCUACCUUUGUUAUCGUCUCUUAUGAUAUGCUUCUUACAUCUUUCAGUGCACUUAGCACUGUUUGUGAUUGUAUAUUGGCGUCUUUAGUUAUUGCCUGUUGUCCUUACGGCAGGCUGUCUGAUUUAUCCAUUGAUAUGUAACCCAUGCUUAGCAUAAGGGUCAGCAUUGGUCGUCACUAUUCAAUGAUGAGGAGUUAAUGAAUCAGUGAAGGAAAGAAUGCAUAAAUACACUUGAGCAAGAUGCAUAGUUUGUUGUUGCUUUGAGGAUCCGGUGUGUUUGGUGAGAAGAAAAAGGCAGCCAGCUAAGCGGAUAUGAAAGAGCUGUGUGUGUUUGACCCUCCCUUUCUACCACCCAGCAUGACCAGGAGCCUGGUCAGUUCUAGAGACACAAGUUCACACUUGGAGGAACAGAGAUGAGAUGUUAGCCUCCCCGCUGCUGUUGAAUCCGGGUUCCUGAAGGUGGCUCUUAAAGAGUUAAAAGAGUAUUACAAGAUCUUCUUAGUACCAUGAAGGCACUUGGAAUAGCAGACAACCUGAGAAGCCGAACAACAGAGGAUAGAUAUAUGGGAAACAGACACCAGAGGUUGGGGUGGACAAGGAAGAGAUGCGCUAUGGAGGGUUGGAAUUUGGUUCUGGUGAGCCCUUCACCAGGCAUCAAUUGGAAAAAUCGAGGCUAUUGACUACCAUGACAGCUUGAAAGUGUGCCUUUCAGGCCCUCCUCAUGUUGCCAUCACAGCCAACCUGGACUGGGGAGGAAUGUGGAAGAGGAUACUUGAAAAUCACUCAUAGUCAAGAUCUGGAAGAGGUGCACACCCUGUCUACUAAUGUACCAAAGAAGAGAUUUGAAACAUCUGGAGUAUCUACUAUAGUGUGACUGGAUGGCCAUAGAAAUGAGGAUGGAUUACAGUGGGUGGCUACGACUGUAACUGUGACCUUUUUAUUUGUUUUGUUAUUUGGUGAUAGAAAGAUGAUUCUCAAAGAGAAAAAAAUAAGUCUCAUUUUAUUUAUUACAGGUCCUACGCACUAAACUGUCGCAUUUACAAAACCUUAAGUCACCUGACUCAUAGGGGUGUUCUUCACUGACGUUUUCUACCAAUGUUAGCUUUCCCACACUAUAAGUCAAGCUGCAUGACAUUUUUCAUGGAUACAGAACAUCCAAAUUCAGGUGAUAGCAGCUUGCAAUUAUCUAUCAGGGAUUGUCAAUUUAGUCCUACCCCUAAGUUUCUGUAAUGGGCCCUGAGAGUUCACAUUUCUAACAAGAUUCAGGAGACACCAACUCCUCUGGUUGAGGACCAAAGUGCCAGAGCUUUGGCUCAGCUGUUGGCCUUUUCUCUCCUUACUUUCUUCCCUGCUUUCUUUCUUUCUUUUUUCUUUUUAUUUAUUUAUUAUUUAUUUUCUAUUAUUAGCUUGAUACAGUACAAAUUCUUAUCCAAAUAGUGAAAUGUUUCACUGAGGCUUGCCCAAUGAUUGAGUAAAGCCGAAACUUAUUAUAAGCCACAGUCAUCCUAGGGUCCCCCCUGCUAUAUAACCUCCCUGCUUCUGUGGUUUGCAUUCUGAUUGUUCUUUGCUUUAUAUCUAGAAUCUACUUAUGAGUGAGUACAUACCAUGUUUGUCCUUCUGGGUUUGGGUUACCUCACUCAGGAUGAUAUUUUCUAGUUCUAUCCAUUUGCCUGCAAAUUUAAUGAUGUCAUUGUUUUUCUCUGCUGAGUAGUACUCCGUUGUGUAUAUGUACCACAUUUUCUUAAUCCAUUCUUCAGUUGACGGGCAUCUAGGUUGUUUCCAGGUUCUGAUUAUCACGAAUUGUGCUGCUAUGAACAUAGUUGAACAUGUAUCUUUGUGGUAUGAUUGAGCAUUCCUUGGGUAUAUGUCCAAGAAUGGUAUGGCUGGGUCUUGAGGUAGAUCGAUUCCCAAUUUUCUGAGAAACCACCAUACUGAUUUCCACAGUGGUUGUAUAAGUUUGCAUUCCCACCAACAGUGGAGGAGUGUUCCCUUUGCUCCGCAUCCUUUCCAACAUUGACUGUCAUUAGUGUUUUUGAUCAUGGCCAUUCUAACAGGUGUAAGGUGGUAUCUCAGAGUUGUUUUGAUUUGCAUUUCUCUGAUGACUAAGGAUGUUGAGCAUUUCUUUAAACUCAAGUCCAAGUGGAUCAAAGACCUCAACAUAAAUCCAGUUACACUGAACUUGAUAGACGAGAAAGUAGGAAAUACUCUUGAAUGCAUUGGCACAGGAGAUCAUUUCCUAAAUAUAACACCAGUAGCACAGACACUGAGAGCAACAAUUAAUAAAUGGGACCUUUUGAAACUGAGAAGCUUUUGUAGGGCAAAAGACAUGGUCAAUAAGACCAAAAGACAGCCUACAAAAUAGGAAAAGACCUUUCACCAACCCCACAUCUGACAGAGGACUGAUCUCCAAAGUAUAUAAAGAACUCAAGAAACUAGACAUCAAAAUACUGAAAAAUCCAAUUAAAAAAUGGGGGCUAAAGAGCUAAACAGAAAAUUCUCAAAAGAAGAAUUUCAAAUGGCUGAAAGAGAUUUUUUUUUUUCUGAGACAGGGUUUCUUUAUGUAGUUUUGGUGCAUGUCCUGGAUCUCGCUCUGUAGACCAGGCUGGCCUCGAACUCACAGAGAUCCUCCUGGCUCUGCCUCCCAAGUGCUGUGAUUAUCAGCUCUUCCCGGCUUUCUUAUUGCAAGGCGAACUUCCUCUGAACCCAAGAGGACUUGGAAGGUGUCUGCCACCUUCCAUCCCCGAAGUAGAAGGCCUUCGGAGCUGGUAAAUGCUUUUCUAUCAUGCAUUGCUUCAGAACUGUCCUCUUCAGUCUGAUUUAAAUGGCAGAGAAAAGGAGAGCUGGUUUGUGGCCUUUCCAGAGAGACACUCCCUCCUGCUAGCCUAGUCUGUGUUGCUUGCGUUUUCUUGUCACAGUCUCGGAAGUCAGGCCUUCCUGUUUAAACAUCUGGCUUCCACGUGAUAUUUAAACAGGCUUCCCUGAAGCCCACCGACCGAGCUACUCCCAGCUCUCUGAGAAAGCAGACUCUCGCUGGCAGCUCUGCCUUGUCUAUCAAGCCACUAGCUUUGAUCCAAGCUUCUAUGGGAUUUUGUGAAAUGUUUAAAAACUAGCAACUGAACAGUCUUUGAGGUACAGAGAAGACUGGUGUGUGGAUGAAUAUUUUUCGGGUUUGACAUCUUGGGCUUCAUCAUUUGAUAAAUUGUGCCUUUUGUUGGUCACGACACGUUGUCUGUGCAACCCAAGCUUUAUCCAUAUUUACGAUUUUUAAGUUUUUUUUUUUUCUUCUUCCCAAAUGGAGUUACCUCAAGGCAAAAGGAGUCUCUGUGAACCACUUUCUAUUCUUUGGCCCAAUUUGUCCACUUACUUCUUUUGGAGAUUCGCUGUCAAACACUACAGGUGCUCACGUGCCUGGGGCCAGAAAGUACAAAAUAGAUUUCAUACGGCAGCUUCAAGUCUUCUGGGUAAUUAACUCAGCAUGCUUCAGCUGGAUUCGUACCAAGUGCUUGUUUGCCCAUGCCGAGAGAAAUAAUACAUUGUUGCUCUCCUCAGCAUCUCGAAAAUACUUCGCAAACAUUAAUUAAUGCUUAUCUCCCGUCCCAUCAUCCCCCAUUUCCAGAUGAGGAAACUGAGUGUUUGGAGCCAACAAAGAAAUUUACUGCUGUGUUUCCGCUGGGCUCAGUGGAGAGUGGAGCACAACAUGGGAUGUUGCCCUUUAACCUUGGGGUCAUACUCUUUCCUGCUGAGGUGGCAGCUGACACCGUGCAUCAAGUUGGGUCCUCACCGAAACCUCGACUGAAAAUGAUGACUGCAAGUGGAAACGUAGGAAAGAUGCCCAGCUGAGCUUCAUGUGGAUAAACCCAGAAAAUACUGUGUGUGUGCUUCUGUGUAUUCCUCUGAGCAUGUGUGGCUUGUGUGUGCGCGCAUGCGCAUACUUAUGCAUAUGCUUCUGAGCAGGUAUCUCAUUGCUGACAUCGAACGAUCUUGCUUAGGCAACGUUUUUAAGAGUUAAUUUGCUAGCAGGGUGUGGGGGUGUGUCUUUAAUUCCAGCAGUCGGGAGGCAGAGGCACUUGGAUCUCUAUGAAUCCCAGGCCAGCCUGUCCACACAGUGAGCUGCAGGCCAGCCAGGGCAACUUAGUGAGACCCUGUCUUAAACAAAAGGUUAAUUUGUUCUGUGGAGAGAAUGACCAGUGGAGAAAAGAUACGUUGCUUCCUUUCGUGUCGGGCCAUGAGAUACUAAGAAACAGAAGUUCAUGCAGCACCCAGGGAAAGGCUUACACCUCAAAUCGGCUUCCCAAAGGCCUAGGAGUUCCUCAGGUCUGUAGUUGAGCUGUGACUGGACCCAACCUCACAGCUGGUGCUCCACACAGCCCAGCAGCAGCACAGCCUGGGCUGCUCACUGUCUGCCUGCAAAUCAGCUCUGACACUUGGCCUGCAAGGGCCUCGGUGGCAGCCCCAGAGGGAACUCCAGCUCCUUUUAGUGUGGGCCCAACCAAUGGGUCCUUCUUUCAUGGAGACCUGGGCACCUGCUCACCCGGCUUCCCCAGUUUCAGUCCAAAAUAUGGUCUAGUGCUGGAGUCUGCCUGAGCUCUCCACACAAUGUACCCAACCUAUGCUUCCUAGUUUUGAUUCUCAAGACUCAGGCCCUUAGUGCUGGAAAUGUAAAUAGCAGUGCUGGGAAUGAUUAUAUUUACUUUAAUUGAGAUGUUUUAAAAAUGGCAAAGAAAUGACCGAAUACUGAAACUCGGAAUUGAAAACUAAGUGUGUUGUAUGAAGUACCCAUAGAAGCAUAGUUUACCUUUAGUUAACAUUUUAGAUGUCUAUAUAUAAAUGCACAGGCUUCUGCUUUACUACAGCCUGAUCCCUUUUGCUUUUGCCUCUGAUUUGGGUUCCCCCUUCUGCAACAUAGGUUGUUCUUGUAUGACAAGGGGAUGUUGUGUCUUAACUACUUCCAUAUUAUUAUCCUUUAGUGUGUUUUCACGUGACUGUGUUCAUCAGAAUUAUCUAGAAAUCUCGUUAGGCUAAAAAAAUGUGUGUAUGUAUAUAUAGAUGUGUGUGUAUGUAGAUGUAUAGAUGUAUAUAUGUGUAUAUAUGUACACACAUAAGUAUUUUUUUUCCUGGUCCCCAAGUCUCAAGAGGUGCAGAUCUUUUAAGUCUGGGAUGGGCUUAUGUGUGGCUAUGUUUUCAACAGACCUGUCUAGGUUGUAUUAAAAUACGAGAAACACUGCUUUCAUUUUGCACUGGAAACAUCUGUGAAAUGAUGUUUUUGGGAUCUCUCAGAUAAGCCCUAUGAACAGACUUGGUUGCUUACCUUCUCUCAAAGCUUGCUUUCUAGCUGCAUGUCCUGCCUGGCCUAGGAUCUGUUUCUAUUCCUGUGUUUCCCUGCAGGCUAAGGGGGAAAAGAAUCUGCACCCAGCAGGAAAUAUAACUUUCAGACAGAGGUUCUAAUUAAAAAGAAAUCUCUUUAUUGCACACGGUCAACUCUUAUACUAUUAAGAACCCCUUGGGGGUAAUUAUUGGAUUUUUAAUUUUUAUUGUUUUAACAUUAAGAAUGGUAUGCUUCUGAUAGCUCAGAUUUUAGGAAAUUUAAUAGUUAUCAUUAAUCAGAAAGAGGAUGUCUCCAGUGUAAGCUAUGUAAUCACUGAAUAUUUAAACUCAGAAUUGAAAAUGAGGUGUGUUGCAUAGGGUAUCGACAUAAGCAUAGUUUGCAUUCACUUAGCGUUUUAGAUGUCUGUAUAUAAUGUGCAUGCAUAUAUUCAGUGUGGCUAUUCAUUCGAUUCCAGAUACUGAUAAAUUCCGGGCUAUAUACAUGAAAAUAAAAUGGCAGUCCGAAUUCAAGAAAUUCUGUUUUUGCCAUUAUUAUCAUCUGAUUCAUUUUGUUCUCAUUGUUCUUUAUUGAAGCUCACCAUUUAUAAUUACCACUUGUAAUCCAGUUCUAUACUCUGUUAUCAUCUUCUAGCCCUUUAAUUCUGAGAAUCUGCCGAACAGUCGGCUGCCAUGAAACAACGAGAAAUGUCUGCUCAGUGGUAAGCAGAAUUGUUUAAAGGCUCCUAAUGCCACACCCUAUAGACAUCACAUGUCAUCAAAAGAUGGCUUAUCUACAUGCCAAAUCAAGUUCAUGUUUUCCUCCGUCCGCCCUCUUUGAGAUAAGGUCUUCCUGUGAGUCCAAGGCGGCCUGAAAUUCUUGAUCCUCUUUUCUUAGCCCCCCAACUGUUAGAGUAUGGGCAUGUGCCCCUAGGCCUGGCUCCCCACUACUUCUGUUAAUAAAUAGUGUUUUAUCAAAGCAUAGCCAUGCAUCUUUGCUGUGGGAUGUUCUGUAUGGCAAAUGUGUUGCUAAUUAGUCAAUAAAUAAAACACUGAUUGGCCAUUGGCUAGGCAGGAAGUGUAGGCGGGACAAGGAGGAGAAUAAAGCUGGGAAGUGGAAGGCUGAGUCAGAGAGACACUGCCAGCCGCCAUGAUGAGAAAUAGCAUGUGAAGAUGCUGGUAAGCCACGAGCCACAUGGCAAGGUAUAGAUUUAUAAAAGUGGAUUAAUUUAAGCUGUAAGAACAGUUAGCAAGAAGCCUGCCACGGCCAUACAGUUUGUAAGCAAUAUAAGUCUCUGUGAUUACUUGGUCGGGUCUGAGCGGCUGUGGGACUGGCAGGUGACAGAGAUUUAUCCUGACUGUGGGCCAGGCAGGAAAACUCUAGCUACAAAUGGUGCCCAACGUGGGGCAAGAGUUUCCACCUAAAAACUGAGAAAAAAGAUUCUAAAACAGAGCUAAAAACAGUUCCUAAUUGUCUCUCUCAAAUGAGCGGCAGCUGCUGGUUUGAGCUACUGGCAGGUUCCUGGCGUGCUCGCUCGACCUGCAGUAUGGCGGGAAUGAGUGCUUUGCAAGUGGCACAUUAAGCUGCAUGGUGGAUUUAGCCUUUGCAGGUACAAAACAAAAAAAGAGGUUUCUGGGCUACACGGUGCUUAAAUAAAAGCAUAGACCCACGAUAGCUCCCAGAGCUGACAGUAAAUCACCACCAUGUUGGGAAGCUGAGGUGGGCGGAGCCAGCAGUCACAGUUGCUGCAGUUUAAAGCAAUAGAUUUCACAAUAAGACAGAUUCAGAUGUAAUAGUUUACAAUGUGUGUAAAAUAUACGUAGGCUUGAAAGAGACAAAAAAGGUGAUAUAUGGUGAUAUAUAGAGUUAUAUAAACAAAUACAUAGCUUUAAAAAAUAAAGUCUUUAAAGAGACAGUAAUAUUAAUAUAAAAAAUAAGCCACGUAAAGAUGAAUAUUACACAGAGAAUCUGGAUUGUGUUGUCUCUGGAAUU
Molecule: long non-coding RNA, 8173 nt
Organism: Peromyscus californicus insignis
Lineage: Eukaryota; Metazoa; Chordata; Mammalia; Rodentia; Cricetidae
Exons: 4
Source: RefSeq, a predicted model, not a curated record